RNAcentral lists this long non-coding RNA (294 nucleotides) under Gallus gallus (chicken). The record is from RNAcentral. Lineage: Eukaryota; Metazoa; Chordata; Aves; Galliformes; Phasianidae.
UGAAUUAACUUCUUUUCAUUGAGCUUAAGGGCCAUGACAAUAGCCACAGUGUAUUCUUUCUGAUGCAGUUUUUUGCGUAUAUUGCUGGGUGUAACAUCAAUAUCCAACUCAAAAGGAUCAAAAAUUAGCCCAGCAUCCAGUGAAUAGAUAAGAAGACCCUCAGUGGUGGUAGCUGCCCAGCUUCGUCCUGUAGGAGAGAAUCGCAGGCAGGUUACUCUUAUUUCUGGCUUGAAGUGUCGAGAACUCAUGUCACCUCUUUUUACUCCAGGAAGAGGGAUAGCAACACCAUCUUCA